CGAAGGGGCUAGCGUUGCUCGGAAUCACUGGGCGUAAAGGGCGCGUAGGCGGCCGAUUAAGUCGGGGUGAAGACCUGUGGCUCAACCACAGAAUUGCCUUCGAUACUGGUUGGCUUGAGACCGGAAGAGGACAGCGGAACUGCGAGUGUAGAGGUGAAAUUCGUAGAUAUUCGCAAGAACACCAGUGGCGAAGGCGGCUGUCUGGUCCGGUUCUGACGCUGAGGCGCGAAAGCGUGGGGAGCAAACAGGAUU
RNAcentral lists this ribosomal RNA (252 nucleotides) under uncultured bacterium. RNAcentral's name for it is "partial 16S ribosomal RNA". It matches the Rfam family "Bacterial small subunit ribosomal RNA", at positions 527 to 779 of the family's 1533-position model. The record is from RNAcentral.